This 440-nucleotide ribosomal RNA is filed under the name uncultured bacterium. RNAcentral's name for it is "partial 16S ribosomal RNA". It matches the Rfam family "Bacterial small subunit ribosomal RNA", at positions 338 to 795 of the family's 1533-position model. The record is from RNAcentral.
CCUACGGGUGGCAGCAGUGGGGAAUAUUGCACAAUGGGGGAAACCCUGAUGCAGCGACGCCGCGUGAGUGAAGAAGUAAUUCGUUAUGUAAAGCUCUAUCAGCAGGGAAGAAAAUGACGGUACCUGAGUAAGAAGCCCCGGCUAACUACGUGCCAGCAGCCGCGGUAAUACGUAGGGGGCAAGCGUUAUCCGGAUAUACUGGGUGUAAAGGGAGCGUAGAAGGCAGUGCAAGUCUGGAGUGAAAGGCGGGGGCGCAACCCCCGGACUGCUCUGGAAACUGUACGGCUGGAUUGCAGGAGAGGUAAGUGGAAUUCCUAGUGUAGCGGUGAAAUGCGUAGAUAUUAGGAGGAACACCAGUGGCGAAGGCGGCUUACUGGACUGUAACUGACGUUGAUGCUCGAAAGCGUGGGUAGCAAACAGGAUUAGAUACCCGAGUAGUC